RNAcentral lists this ribosomal RNA (925 nucleotides) under uncultured bacterium. RNAcentral describes it as "bacterial SSU rRNA". It matches the Rfam family "Bacterial small subunit ribosomal RNA", at positions 577 to 1501 of the family's 1533-position model. The record is from RNAcentral.
GGUUCAGCAAGUCGGGUGUGAAAACUCUGGGCUCAACCCAGAGCCUGCACCCGAAACUGCUGUGACUAGAGUUCGGUAGGGGAGUGGGGAAUUCCUAGUGUAGCGGUGAAAUGCGCAGAUAUUAGGAGGAACACCGAUGGCGAAGGCACCACUCUGGGCCGAAACUGACGCUGAGGAGCGAAAGCGUGGGUAGCAAACAGGAUUAGAUACCCUGGUAGUCCACGCCGUAAACGAUGGGCACUAGGUGUGGGUCUCUAACCAACGAGAUCCGCGCCGUCGCUAACGCAUUAAGUGCCCCGCCUGGGGAGUACGGUCGCAAGACUAAAACUCAAAGGAAUUGACGGGGGCCCGCACAAGCAGCGGAGCGUGUUGCUUAAUUCGAUGCUACGCGAAGAACCUUACCUAGGUUAAAUCAUUGGGAAAAGCCACAGAGAUGUGGUGUCCUUCGGGGCUCAAUGAAGGUGGUGCAUGGCUGUCGUCAGCUCGUGUCGUGAGAUGUUGGGUUAAGUCCCGCAACGAGCGCAACCCUUAUUCUAUGUUGCCAGCACGUAAUGGUGGGGACUCGUAGGAGACUGCCGGGGUCAACUCGGAGGAAGGUGGGGAUGACGUCAAGUCAUCAUGCCCCUUAUGUCUAGGGCUGCAAACACGCUACAAUGGCCGGUACAAAGGGCUGCGAAACCGCGAGGUUUAGCGAAUCCCAUAAAGCCGGUCUCAGUUCGGAUUGGAGGCUGCAACUCGCCUCCAUGAAGCUGGAGUUGCUAGUAAUCCCGGAUCAGCACGCCGGGGUGAAUACGUUCCCGGGCCUUGUACACACCGCCCGUCACACCACGAAAGUCGGUAACACCCGAAGCCGGUGGCCUAACCGUAAGGAAGGAGCCGUCGAAGGUGGGAUCGGUGAUUGGGGUGAAGUCGUAACAAGGUAACC